This is an RNA transcript of Gadus morhua (Atlantic cod), 1026 nucleotides long. RefSeq lists it as uncharacterized. Lineage: Eukaryota; Metazoa; Chordata; Actinopteri; Gadiformes; Gadidae. The record is from RefSeq and is a predicted model, not a curated record. The transcript has 5 exons.
CGAACACAAGAGCUGAGUGGUGCAUCAGUGGAGGAUGGAGUUUCCACUGAGGACUAUGUUGCUUCUCUCUCUGGGGCCGCUGCUGGCUCGGGGUGAGUACCGCUCAUAACUCAUCUUCCUCCCGCUGCUAUGAAGACCUUAAGCAAAGGGAUUCCCAACCGGGGGUACGCCCGCACUCGGGGGAAAUUGUUCCAGAGAAGGAUAUAAAGGUAUAUCAGACGGCAGAUUUGGAGGUCGUAGAGGGAGACAGCAAAACUCUCCAUUGUUGCUGGACAGGCGCCAACCACACACAGUAUAGAGCGCAUUGGUGGAAAAAUGAGGAUACAAUUACUCACCAACUGACAGCCCUAACAAACAACUGGGAGGGCUGUGGUUUGGACCGGUCACCUGUGAAGAACGGCACCUGUAGCUGUGUCAACCUGACCCUUCUCAAUGUGACCCGCAACCACACCGGACGCUUCGUCUGCAAGGUGAUCAUGAAUAGGCCCAUACUUAUUCAAUUUAGGGGAAGCGGCACAAUGAUCAUCGUCAGAGAACGACGGAACCCCACAACACAAGAAAACGCGUCACUGCGGCCCCUGGUCCCAGUCGUUGUUUCAAUGGCUAUAGUAAUGGCCGCCGCGUUCCUCGUCGCUCUGAUCUGUUUAUGGAAGCUGCGGAAGAGACGAGGGUUGGACCGAGCAGCAAGGGUGAUCUAUGAGGUUCCCCACAAAGACGCUGAGGUGGACGGAACCAGCACCAGCUCGUCCAAAGGGUCCUCCCAGUGGUGUCAGGUACCCGUGUAUGAGUCCUUCGACUACUUUGAGCGUGUGGUGGAAAGCAAGGGCAGUGGAUGAAGGAGUCUCAAUCUGUUGUUUCCCUUGUUGGUUUUGGAAAUAUCUCUGAUACGUUCUGUCAUCUUCUUUUUCCAUCCAUGUUGGUUUACUUAGUAGAAACAGACUACUUAGUAAAGUCUCUUGAAACAUGCAAACAAAAAAGGCUCAGCUUUAAAAGUUCCACACUUUUUUUGUCUGUAGUGACAGGGGU